UACGGGGGGAGCAAGCGUUGUUCGGAUUUACUGGGCGUAAAGGGCGCGUAGGCGGUCGUGACAAGUCACUUGUGAAAUCUCCGGGCUUAACUCGGAACGGUCAAGUGAUACUGUCGGACUAGAGUACAGAAGGGGCAACUGGAAUUCUCGGUGUAGCGGUGAAAUGCGUAGAGAUCGGAAGGAACACCAGUGGCGAAGGCGGCUACCUGGCCUGAUACUGACACUGAGGCACGAAAGCGUGGGGAGCAAACAGG
This 254-nucleotide ribosomal RNA is filed under the name uncultured bacterium. Its description in RNAcentral is "partial 16S ribosomal RNA". It matches the Rfam family "Bacterial small subunit ribosomal RNA", at positions 524 to 776 of the family's 1533-position model. The record is from RNAcentral.